This 505-nucleotide ribosomal RNA is filed under the name uncultured bacterium. RNAcentral's name for it is "partial 16S ribosomal RNA". It matches the Rfam family "Bacterial small subunit ribosomal RNA", at positions 28 to 506 of the family's 1533-position model. The record is from RNAcentral.
GACGAACGCUGGCGGCGUGCUUAACACAUGCAAGUCGAACGGGCCUUGUCCCCUUUUUUUUGGGGGUGGGGUUAGUGGCGAACGGGUGAGUAACACGUGAGUAACCUGCCCCUCACUUCUGGAUAACCGCUUGAAAGGGUGGCUAAUACGGGGUGUUCUGGCCUGCUCGCAUGGGUGGGUUUGGAAAGAUUCGACCGGUUUGGUUGUUUUGGUGGGGGAUGGGCUCGCGGCCUAUCAGCUUGUUGGUGGGGUGAUGGCCUGCCAAGGCUUUGACGGGUAGCGGGCCUGAGGGGGUGGGGGGCCACACGGGGACGGAGACCCGGCCAAACCUCCUCCGGGAGGCAGCAGGGGGAAAUAUUGCAAAAUGGGGGAAAGCGUGAUGCGGCGCCGCCGGGGGGGGGAUGGAGGCCUUCGGGUUGUGAACCUCUUUCGCCAGUGAAGAAGGUCCUGCUUUUUGUGGGGGGGUUGAGGGUAGCUGGGUUAAUGAAGCGCCGGCUAACUACGU